UGCUAACUCCUACGGGAGGCAGCAGUAGGGAAUCUUCGGCAAUGGACGGAAGUCUGACCGAGCAACGCCGCGUGAGUGAAGAAGGUUUUCGGAUCGUAAAGCUCUGUUGUAAGAGAAGAACGAGUGUGAGAGUGGAAAGUUCACACUGUGACGGUAUCUUACCAGAAAGGGACGGCUAACUACGUGCCAGCAGCCGCGGUAAUACGUAGGUCCCGAGCGUAGUCCGGAUUUAUUGGGCGGAAAGCGAGCGCAGGCGGUUAGAUAAGUCUGAAGUUAAAGGCUGUGGCUUAACCAUAGUACGCUGUGGAAACUGUUUAACUUGAGUGCAAGAGGGGAGAGUGAAAUGCCAUGUGUAGCGGUGAAAUGCGUAGAUAUAUGGAGGAACACCGGUGACGAAAGCGGCUCUCUGGCUUGUAACUGACGCUGAGGCUCGAAAGCGUGGGGAGCAAACAGGAUUAGAUACCCUGGUAGUCCAGAAGUG
RNAcentral lists this ribosomal RNA (481 nucleotides) under uncultured bacterium. Its description in RNAcentral is "bacterial SSU rRNA". It matches the Rfam family "Bacterial small subunit ribosomal RNA", at positions 330 to 804 of the family's 1533-position model. The record is from RNAcentral.